This 338-nucleotide ribosomal RNA is filed under the name uncultured Cercozoa. RNAcentral's name for it is "bacterial SSU rRNA". The stretch from base 117 to 338 matches the Rfam family "Eukaryotic small subunit ribosomal RNA", at positions 732 to 955 of the family's 1831-position model. The record is from RNAcentral. Lineage: Eukaryota; Cercozoa.
GAUUUCUGGCUGGUCGCUCUGACCCGGUGUCGUCCCUCGUGGGCGUCUGCUGUGUGUCGGAACUGACCUUCCAUCCUUUCUGGAUAGCCUCGUGUACUGUUUACUCAGUUGCGCGAUGUUUUGCGAUCCAGAUCUUUUACUUUGAAAAAAUUAGAGUGUUUAAAGCAGGCUUACGCCGUGAAUACAUUAGCAUGGAAUAAUAAUAUAGGACUUUGGUUCUAUUUUGUUGGUUUCUAGGACUAAAGUAAUGAUUGAUAGGGAUAGUUGGGGGUGCUAGUAUUCAGCGGCCAGAGGUGAAAUUCUUGGAUUCGCUGAAGACUAACUACUGCGAAAGCAUU